RNAcentral lists this transfer RNA (76 nucleotides) under Xanthobacter flavus. Its description in RNAcentral is "tRNA-Ile". It matches the Rfam family "tRNA". Rfam says of the family: Transfer RNA (tRNA) molecules are approximately 80 nucleotides in length. Their secondary structure includes four short double-helical elements and three loops (D, anti-codon, and T loops). Further hydrogen bonds mediate the characteristic L-shaped molecular structure. tRNAs have two regions of fundamental functional importance: the anti-codon, which is responsible for specific mRNA codon recognition, and the 3' end, to which the tRNAs corresponding amino acid is attached (by aminoacyl-tRNA synthetases). tRNAs cope with the degeneracy of the genetic code in two manners: having more than one tRNA (with a specific anti-codon) for a particular amino acid; and 'wobble' base-pairing, i.e. permitting non-standard base-pairing at the 3rd anti-codon position. Lineage: Bacteria; Pseudomonadati; Pseudomonadota; Alphaproteobacteria; Hyphomicrobiales; Xanthobacteraceae. The record is from RNAcentral. RNAcentral also lists the same sequence under 4 other names.
GGGCCUGUAGCUCAAUGGUUAGAGCUGACCGCUCAUAACGGUUAGGUUGCAGGUUCGAGUCCUGCCGGGCCCACCA